Molecule: non-coding RNA, 3354 nt
Organism: Dermacentor andersoni
Lineage: Eukaryota; Metazoa; Arthropoda; Arachnida; Ixodida; Ixodidae
Source: RefSeq, a predicted model, not a curated record
UUAUCCCCAAUUCUUCUCAAUCCAGGUCUCUGAAUAUCUCCUGUAAACACGCUGUGAAUAGCAUUGGAGAGAUCGUAUCUCCCUGCCUGACGCCCUCCUUUAUUGGGAUUUUGUUGCUUUCGUUAUGGAGGACUACGGUGGCUGUGGAGCCGCUAUAGGUGUCUUUCAGUAUUUUUACAUACGGCUCGUCUACACUCUGAUUCCGCAAUGCCUCCACGACUGCUGAGGUUUCGACUGAAUCAAACGCUUUCUCGUAAUCAAUGAAAGCUAAAUUAUGGGGUUUUACGUGCCAAAACCACUUUCUGAUUAUGAGGCACGCCGUAGUGGAGGACUCCGGAAAUUUCGACCACCUGGGGUUCUUUAACGUGCACCUAAAUCUAAGCACACGGGUGUUUUCGCAUUUCGCCCCCAUCGAAAUGCGGCCGCCGUGGCCGGGAUUCGAUCCCGCGACCUCGUGCUCAAAUCAAUGAAAGCUAUAUAUAAGGGUUGGUUAUAUUGCGCACAUUUCUCUAUCACCUGACUGAUAGUGUGAAUAUGGUCUAUUGUUGUGUAGCCUUUGGUCUAUUGUAUAUGGUCUAUUGUUGAGUAGACGCGGGGAGGUGCCGCGGCGGCCGCGUUGUGUGAAAGGUGGAAAGGCGACAGUAGAUGUGCCGGCAGAGGCGCAUUAGAAGAUUUUAUAUGUUCCUUUUUCUUUUACCAUUUAUUGUAUGGCCCGAUCCGGUAUUGCCCGUCGAUCUCCCGAUUCAAAGGCAUGUGGCCGCAGACAUCAUCAUCAUCAUCAGCCCUCCCUCCCCAAUUCUGUUCGUAUGCGGCCUACCCAACCUAUUUAAUUUUGCCCCUCACCCACCGCGAUCAAGUGCGUGUCACUCCCCCCCAUCCCCCCAAGUAGCAGUAGUAGUAGGGAGGAGGGGAGAGGGAGUGCCCGUCCUCUUCUUCCUCAGGCGGCGGCCAGGCCUUGCGCUCUGGCAGCGUCUUAGGCCACCUGGACGUCCCGGAGUUCGAAAUUCGGUUCUGAGCUGAGCAGUGUAGUCUAGCACUGCUCUAGGGUGGUGUUGAGAAGGGGAAGUAAUGAGCUGGUGCGUUUUUUUUUUUUUUUUUGUACUUACCAGGGGGCACACCCACAUGAAGCGGUGAAGAUUGGCUCCACCUGCGCAUAAUUUAGAGGAGACUGUACGUCAAGGGGUUUGGGAAAGUGCGAGUCAGUAAGAGGCGCCAGGUUACCGAUUGCUUUUCACUUAAGUUUUUGUGAACGGCGGGGUAAUGCCCCCUGCCUUGCAGCAGAAUUUUCUUGUAGGAUGCCAUCGGGCGGGCCCCUGCCUGAAUGGCAGAAGGAUUCAAACUGCUUAUCACAAUUGAGCUUUUCGUGCGGCCGCGGAUGGCGAGUAAGCAGCCAGUGAGCAACUGGGAGCAGCUUCGUUUCCCGGAAGACAGGAGUGCGCCAAUGCCCAAACAAGUUGGGUCCAUCUGUACCUGGUUUCGGGUACCUUGGCCAGAAUUUUGAGGGAUUUGCGUGAAAUGUGCCCUUUCAUGAAAUUUCGUAUGGCUGUCUUUGAGUCGCUGACUAUGAAUAUGGCUGUGGCGAAGACGUACGGCAAGGCGAUUUCAACUUCCUCCCCAACCUCCGGCGAGGUCGUAAUGACUGAGCUUGCAGCAAUAGUUUGAUUUUGUUGAUCUAGUACAGCUGCUGUCAUGGCGUUUCGAUCACGAUACUUAGCCGCGUCUACAUAGGCCACGCCUUUGCAAAGUGUUUUUGUAAGGAUUUGGCACUUUCCUGCUUGCGCUCUUGGUUGUGCGGAGGGUGGGUGUUCUUAGGUAAUGGUGGGACGUGUAUGUGUUUUUUUAACUCUGUGGGAAUGUCCAGCUUUGGUCCGAAUUGUAUGCUUAAUCCCGAGUGAUUGGAAAAUGUGUUGCCCCGUCGCAGACUGGGAGAGUCGCUCCAGAUGGGUAAUUAUUUGGGCUUCUAUGAGCUCAUCAAGAGUACUGCGUAUACCUAGAGCCUCAAACUUUUCCUCUGUGGUCAUAAUUCGGAGGUGUAGAGCCUGCUUGUAGGCUCUCUUGAUCAUAAGGUUAAUUUUGGUGCGUUCAUCGCUUUUUAGUUGCAGAAUGAGGUAUAACAUAUACUAUUCUGCUUAUGAUAAAAGCCUGUACCAACCUUAGAUUAAUUUCAUUCAUUCCAUAGUGUCUGUUGGCGAUGUGCGAAAUGAGUCUUGUCAUUUGAUGCACUUGUGAGUCUAGUGCCUUUAUCACUUUGUUGUUGUGUUAUUGGCCUGUAUUCUGAGUCUAAGGAUCCUGAUACUCGAUACUAUUGGGAUGUCCUGUCCGUUAGCUCUGAGCGUGAUUUAAGGGGGUGAUGACAGUUUCCUCCCUCUGCAGGUGGGUCUACACAGUAGUACCUCUGAUUUUUGCAGAAAGCAAGAAACCCUUUAGGUGUUACAUAUUCAGUGGCUACUACGUCGCGCUUUGCAAAGUUUCAUGGAUUUCUCUGUCACUCCCUCCGGUUACCCAGAGUGUUACGUCGUCUGCAUAUAAGCUAUGCUGUAGUUAAGGGAUUUUGGCUAUAGCUUGCUUGGCAAUCCUAGCGUGGCCAUGUUGAAGAGGUAGGGAGACAGGACCGAGCUCUGGGGCGUCCCUGUAUUCCCAAGUGAAAUGCUCUCCGAGGUUACCCCACCAGCAGUGAUUGUGGCUGUCCUGUCUUUGAUGUAAAAAGUUUUUGAUGUAAUUGUAUUCUCUGGAGUCAACUGCUAAUUUGUUUGGCUGGCCAAUGCAGAUGUGGUCUUUGAAAGGUGAAGAUGUUCCUCCAUCUGUACUCUGGGGUACAAACAAGAUGGCACCAUGGACAUGUGCCAAAGAGAGUUUCUACCAGCACUGUACUGGCUUGCCCUCCACCUGCCAACCCGUAGCUUCAGUGCUGUGGCUGUCCACCGUGGUCCUCAACAGCAGAGCUUGAUGACCAAGCUUGUCACCAGCAGCUCCAUCGUAUGCUAUAGAAGCCUAUGAGGAAGCAGCAGGUGCUCAACUAGCCUCGUCUUGUGCUACAUGGACCACACACCAUCAGCAAUGAAAUGCCAUAGGAUGCUCACCACGUUAUAAUUUUUAAAUGCUAGUCAUUGUAAAUUGGUUACUUACGGUGUUGUUCAGAUUGACUUUUGCUUGUAGCUGUAGAUAUAUGUCUUGUAACCUUUCAUUUGCAUAUGUUGUAGCAUGCUCACCGUGUUAUCAUUUUUAAAUACCAGUCAUUGUAAACUGGAUUCUUGUUUUUUUUCAGUUUGACUUCUGCAUGAAGCUGCUCAUUUGUGUUUCGUAAUCUUUAGUGAUUUCUCUUUUUAUUUACUUAUAAAUGCCUCUUGUUCAUUA